GAGACAAGCAUAUGACUACUGGCAGGAUCAACCAGGUAGCGUUCCUUCGCGACGCCGACGCCCGCACGACGCCCCACGGGCUCGAGACGGGCGCGGCAGUCGUUCGCUUUGCUAUGCGUCGAGGGACAAAUCGCGUUGCUCGAGCGAGCGGAGCCUGUUGUGACAGACCCCGCGCCCGCGCACGACGUUCCGUAUCCGAGAGAACGGGCAUAGCGCACCGUGGGCCGAGGCAGCCAAAGCGACUGGGCGAGGCUUGCCGGGAACACGGGGCGUGCCUAACGUCCACCCCGCAACCCGCGAGGGCUGGGGGCGGAGAGGGACGAACGAGACCGACGGAUUCCUUUCGAUAGGUAAGCAACACAGGAUACCGAA
This 372-nucleotide unclassified non-coding RNA is filed under the name Commiphora rostrata. RNAcentral describes it as "partial external transcribed spacer". Lineage: Eukaryota; Viridiplantae; Streptophyta; Magnoliopsida; Sapindales; Burseraceae. The record is from RNAcentral.